Leopardus geoffroyi (Geoffroy's cat) is the source of this 586-nucleotide long non-coding RNA. RefSeq lists it as uncharacterized. Lineage: Eukaryota; Metazoa; Chordata; Mammalia; Carnivora; Felidae. The transcript has 3 exons. The record is from RefSeq and is a predicted model, not a curated record.
UUUCACUUGGCUCGGGCAUGUUUGGUUUCUGAUACUUGGAACCUCGGCAAAAAGAAACUAGUAUUUGAGGACAAAACUAUAUCCAAGUUUAUCAAUUAACGACAUGUAAAGCCAAGCUGAACCAUGAGACUUAUUGCCCGGGGAAGGAGAUGGUGGGAAAAUAAGCAAUUGGUCACCUGUGGAUCUCAAAGCAGUGAGGACAGCAUGGCUCAUGGUGCAGCAACUUUGAUUGGAAAAUGGAACAUGCACAGGAGCAGAGGAAAUAUGCCUUGUGUCCCUUCUUCCAUGCCACCCCAUUUGUGCAUAAUGUUUAUGCUGCCCAUGAACGUGGAAUUCAGGUAGACCCAUGAUGUGUGGGAGUUCAGUGGCUCAGAGCAAAAGUGAGUAUAAGGUAGGUAUGUUAUGCCUAUCACUGCAUAAGUGACAGCCCCGAGAGGUCACAAUGUCCAUUUGAACCAGAACUUCCAACAUGAAAAGAGACACAAAUGACCAGGAAACGCUACUGUAUCUUUCUUCCUAGUGUCACUUCCCUGCAUUAUCCAUUUGUUUAUGCUGAAAAUAAUAACAAAGGAAAGAAAAAGAUAAA